ACGAACGCUGGCGGCGUGCUUGACACAUGCAAGUCGAACGAUGAAGCGGGUGCUUGCACUCGUGGAUUAGUGGCGAACGGGCGAGUAACACGUGAGUAACCUGUCCUUUUCUUUGGGAUAACGGCUGGAAACGGCUGCUAAUACUGGAUAUUCAGGCUGCAUCGCAUGGUGUGGUUUGGAAAGGUUUUUUCUGGGAUUGGGUGGGCUCGCGGCCUAUCAGCUUGUUGGUGGGGUGAUGGCUUACCAAGGCUUUGACGGGUAGCCGGCCUGAGAGGGUGGUCGGUCGCACUGGGACUGAGAUACGGCCCAGACUCCUACGGGAGGCAGCAGUGGGGAAUAUUGCACAAUGGACGAAAGUUUGAUGCAGCGACGCCGCGUGGAGGGUGUAGGCCUUCGGGUUGUGAACUCCUUUUUCUCGCGAAAAAGGCACAGUUUUGGCUGUGUUGAUGGUAGUGGGGGAAGAAGCGCCGGCUAACUACGUG
RNAcentral lists this ribosomal RNA (482 nucleotides) under uncultured bacterium. RNAcentral's name for it is "partial 16S ribosomal RNA". It matches the Rfam family "Bacterial small subunit ribosomal RNA", at positions 29 to 507 of the family's 1533-position model. The record is from RNAcentral.